Mycena metata is the source of this 89-nucleotide non-coding RNA. Lineage: Eukaryota; Fungi; Basidiomycota; Agaricomycetes; Agaricales; Mycenaceae. The record is from the annotation of a GenBank genome assembly.
CGCUCAGUGGCACAUGGUAUGCAUCUGUUUGACCUGAAAAAUUUGCGGCAGUUAAGCAGGAAGUCCCGGUUCAAUUCCGGGUUGAGUGA